AUUAUAGAGAGGAAGGUCAUAGAGAGUAAACCUCCAUAGUCAUAGAGAGUCCUCCGGAAGAGAUAGACGAUCCUCCUGGAGAGGAAAAUCUGGAAGAAAUUCUUAGAGAGGCACAGAGCCCUUCUACACCAUGUGGCUUAGAAGCCCAAUUUCAAAAUGGUGACAGCAGAGAUUCUUCCCACGAGUCGCAGUCUGAGGGAGAGGAAUCAGACAUUUAAAUUCAGGACUUACGGAGAAAUUUUAACAGACUGCGUUUAACACCGCCUGCCCAGGCUAUUAGAAUUCGGCCAUUAUCUGCUAUUAGGACAAAAUUUAACAGGUACUCUGAAUUAACAAUGACUUUUCUUACCCCGUUCCAGCGAGGUAUUAAGAAGGCACAGGAGGCAGGGGAAGACAUUAGCGGUUUUCAACUUUUCCCAGUUUUUGAACAGGUUAUUGACCAAGACCAGAGAGUUCGAGUUCAUGCU
This 467-nucleotide long non-coding RNA is filed under the name Marmota monax (woodchuck). Lineage: Eukaryota; Metazoa; Chordata; Mammalia; Rodentia; Sciuridae. The record is from RNAcentral.